RNAcentral lists this long non-coding RNA (706 nucleotides) under Heterocephalus glaber (naked mole-rat). RNAcentral's name for it is "lncRNA (ENSHGLG00000046134.1)". The record is from RNAcentral. Lineage: Eukaryota; Metazoa; Chordata; Mammalia; Rodentia; Bathyergidae.
CUCUAGUUACUACUGUGAAUCCAAGUGUGAGUUAGGCUCAGUGCCUGCUACAUUAUCUGUUGGGAUAAACUAAAGAGAACCAGACAUAUUGCCCUGCAUAUCCAUGGGCACCUACAGCAGAUGCAUGAACAAGUACUGUAGGAGCUCCCGGGAGAGCGCUGCCAUCCUCUGCUUUGUGGGUGGGCAGGAGGCACAGCUGUGAGCAUUUGCCAGCAGAGGCAUGGAUAGAGCCCCCAGCUGUUCAUGUUCCUGCUUAUGAUUGGGGCCAAGGGAAGACCUUUGGGAUUUCCUUCUGGGAUGUUGGAAAAUCAGAUGAGACAAUGGUUUAGACAGUGCUUUGAAAUGAAUUACUACAAAAAUAUCCGAGUCUGGGGAAGUCCACUUGUGUCUGGAGCAUCCUUCCAAGGCGACAGUUAACACAAGAUUUGGAAGUCAUUCUGAGUUCUAUGCUAUGUCAGCACCUGCAAUCAAACACAGUGAGGACAACACUUUGGGGAUUCUCAUCAAGAGAGGCUGGAAUCGUUUGGUUAUGUCUGCUGUGAGUUAUUGAUAUUCCUUGGCCCCAGCCAGUAGGGAAAUCUGUGCCAGAAAGCUCCGAUGCUUUUCUCUGGUUCCUCAUCCCCUGACUCAACCAACCACAAAUGGAAACUAUUUGAGGGAAAAUAUGCAUCACUACUGAUUGAGGAUGUACAGAUUUUUUUCCCUU